Molecule: long non-coding RNA, 705 nt
Organism: Balaenoptera ricei (Rice's whale)
Lineage: Eukaryota; Metazoa; Chordata; Mammalia; Artiodactyla; Balaenopteridae
Exons: 3
Source: RefSeq, a predicted model, not a curated record
GGCGCGCUGGCAGAAAGCGUGGAGGGGGUUAGGUGGGACUGAAAAAAAGUGGCCUGCCUUGUUUUUAUCGUCAUUGUCAUCAUCUCUUUGACACUUUCUAUUUCGGUGCCUGUCUGCUCCUACACAGACACUUAAACAGUAAUGACAGAAACAAAGACAUGGAUUCCAGCGGAGAAACCUGACGGGGAGCGGUUUUCAGCCGGCCACUCCCAACCUUCCAUCCUCCUUUCCGGCGCCCAGCUCUCAACUAUCUACACCUUAUGGUGGGAAGAACUCACAAUUUAUCAAGCUGGAUAAUGAAGCUACACGGUGACAGCCUGACCCAGGGAGCUGGAAGGUCGCCCUCUCCCGGUUUGCUCCCUGCCCCCUCUCAUUGCUGAUUUAAAGAUGCUCGUGUUGGGACUUCCCUGGUGGCGCAGUGGUUAAGAAUCCACCUGCCAAUGCAGGGGACAUGGCUUCGAGCCCUGAUCUGGGAAGAUCCCUCAUGCCGCGGAGCAACUAAGUCUGUGUGCCACAACUACUGAGCCUACGUGCCACAACUACUGAAGCCCACGCACCUAGAGCCGGUGCUCUGCAACAAGAGAAGUCACCGCAAUGAGAAGCCACGCACCACAACGAAGAGUAGCCCCCACUCGCCACAACUAGAGAAAGCCCGCGUGCAGCAACGAAGACCCAAUGCAGCCAAAAUUAAAAAUAAAAAUAAAA